CUGACUAGAAUGAGAGAGAGAAAGCACUGGAGAUGAGAUCCCAGGAAAUAGAAACUCUAGUGUGUAAGACCUUGUAGGCCACUCUGAGGCCGUUGUGAGGACUUUGGAUAAAAUUUCCACAGGACUGAGAACAAUCUAGAUAGAAGGAAAGGCAAGAACAAAGAUGAAGAAGCAAGGGAAAAAUCAUCUACGGAUGCUACACACAUGGGGUCGAGGCCAAGUCUGAUAAGAAACAGAAUAUUUAAUCACUAUCAAAGUUUCUCUUCAUAACGUGUGCAUUAGUUGCAAAAGGAAAACCAAUUAUACCCUGGAGGAAUAGAAGAACAUGUUAAGCAAGUGAUCAAACUUCUGGGAGACCUUUUCUAUCUGGUAGAUUGGAUGCUGCCCGAUUCAGGAAUUGCUGAAUAAAAGCCAGAAGAUCAGUAAAUUAUGGACAUUUUUCUUUUAACAGGAGGGUAAGGGGUUUUAGAAUGUGAGAAAUAUAGUGAGUAAAAAAAUGGAAGUUAUUACUGUGAAUUAUGGAUAUCGGAUUUCUUUGUUGCUUGAUUGGAAUUACUAUCAACUGUGGUGUCUAAAUGGGGUGUCUCUAGAUCAGCCAAUCCCGUGGAAGCUGGUGGGGCACAGGCUGCAGGAGGUGAAAGAAUUCUAGUGAGGCAGAACAAAAGAGAUAGAAAUUUGGGAGUGGCAGGCAGGACAGCAGAGGAGAGACUGUCGGCCAUGGGGCAGUGGGUGGGGGCUGCUUUCAAGGGGGAAGCUGAGGAUGGUGAUGUAUGGAAUUUUUUUUUGGUAACUGUGCUGAGUUGUAAAUAGCCCAUUGGUUAGUUAGGGCCUAUGGAUAUUUUGAGGUGGGUCACCUUAUGGGCCUGUCUGUAUUCCAUUGCUCAAACCUUUUAACCACCUGUUUGUCUCAAAGCAGCCUCUACAUCAACUACUUUUGGUUAUUGAAUUAUUCCUUUAUAACUGGAACCCCACACAUAUUGAAUCAUGUAGAGCUUUACUUCACAUAAACAUAAACCAGAGUUUUACUUUACAUAAAUCAGCUAGGAGAGUUAAUUGAAGGUAUUUGAAUAACACUUCCACUAAUUUCCUUGACAAUAUCCCUCCCUGCCCCUCCAACCCCAGGCUUUGAUAAAACCUACUCUUAAGAAUUCUUACCAAAUGACCACUCUCCAAUUCUUUAUUCAAGGAAGAUUUGGGGACCUUGUUCACACGCUUCUAUACCAAAUUCAUGCCAUAAUCCUGGAUUUCAAUAGCCACAGUACAUGGCUCAUCCAACAGGAUAGCUUUGUGAUUAGGGUAUCUAUUUAAUUCCAGUGACCUUCACCUAGAUUCAGUGAUGUGUUGUCGAAGCCAGUUCAUUCCAGCUCUUGAGAGCUGAUUGUUCACAUCUCUUUCUAGUUCUGCACUCAGUAACAUGUUGGUAACUUGAAAUCACCUUGGUGGCAGUAUUUACAUGAUUAAAAUCAACAAAUGCUACAAAUCAGGGAUUUUUUUAAUU
Felis catus (domestic cat) is the source of this 1498-nucleotide long non-coding RNA. RefSeq lists it as uncharacterized. The transcript has 3 exons. The record is from RefSeq and is a predicted model, not a curated record. NCBI's taxonomy places the organism in Eukaryota, Metazoa, Chordata, Mammalia, Carnivora, Felidae.